UCUAACUAGUAGACUCAAAAAUACAAUCAUUUGAGCAUAUAAUUUACAUAUUAUUGAACGGCAACUGAAAAAAAAUUAUCAAAAGAAAGACAAUACCAUUUUAAGUUUAUAGGUCUAAAACAGUAAUAUUCAAAAGCAAACAAAAUAUGACCAGCUAUGAACAAAUAUACAGUAUGUUUCAAAACUGCAACGGCUGAACAGCAAUGUUUACAAAUUGUACAAUAACAAAUAUCUUUGCUGUUUUGGUGUUAUAUGUACUCAUGUGAAUAUGAUGUUUGUGAUGUUACCCCAUGAGUGUAUAUCCACACUAGGCAAGCUUGACAAAUAUGCCUGGCCACAGUGAGAAUCGAAUCUACAACCUUUGGAAUACCAGCCCGAUGCUUUGCCAACUGAGCUACGCAGGCAGGCAGGUUGGGGUUUGGCCAGGCAUAUUUCUCAAGCUUGCCCGGUGUGUAUAUACACUCAGGGUAACAUCACAAACAUCAUAUUCUGAUAUUCACCAUGAGUCAUGAUUACUGGAUUACAUUGAUAUCAAAGAAACUAGACUCAGUUCCGAAAUAUCACAUAUUCGAACUGACCUGACCGCCAGCUCAGUUGGCAGAGCAUUGGGCUAGUAUUCCAAAGGCUGUAGGUUGGAUUCCCACCGUGGUCCAACAGGGGUCCAUAAAUACUAGUAGAUUUGGACCCCCGGGGGUCCAUAUCCACUAGUAG
Molecule: non-coding RNA, 711 nt
Organism: Paramuricea clavata
Lineage: Eukaryota; Metazoa; Cnidaria; Anthozoa; Malacalcyonacea; Plexauridae
Source: the annotation of a GenBank genome assembly